Anarrhichthys ocellatus (wolf-eel) is the source of this 450-nucleotide long non-coding RNA. RefSeq lists it as uncharacterized. The record is from RefSeq and is a predicted model, not a curated record. NCBI's taxonomy places the organism in Eukaryota, Metazoa, Chordata, Actinopteri, Perciformes, Anarhichadidae. The transcript has 2 exons.
UGAGCCCCGCCCUGCUGGAGCACACACACACACACUUGCUCAGCAGAGCGACACACCGCCGUGUGCUGUGUGUGUGCGUGUCGGCCGUCUUGACGUCCGUCUUCCUGUCCUACCGAACCUUCAGCCCUCUGACCUACGGGACACCUGAGCUAUCAGUCAAUCAACUGCAAGCACUCAAGUGGAGACACUCCUGGGACAUCCUGUACCGCCGCCGCUAGACAGGCAGAGAGAGGGACUUCCUGAAGGUGUUUGUGUGAUGUCAGAGAUGAUGUCAUGUUGGAGGAGGAGCUUCAGUCCUCUGAAUCAAGAGUCACAAUUCAAACAGCACAAGAUUCUCCCACAAUGCAAUGCACAAAGGGAGGAGUGUGACAUCACAUGCAUCUCUUCCUGUUUGAAAUGUGUAUAAUUAAGUCUGGUGGAAUUAAACACUUUUCAUUUUCUAAAUCAAAA